CCAGCGGAGGGAUCAUUACCGGAUUUUACAGAAUCCCCAACCCUUUGUGAACAUACCCAUCGUUGCUUCGGCGGACUCGCCCCGGCGUCCGGACGGCCUCGCGCCGCUCGCGACCCGGGUCCAGGCGGCCGCCGGGGACCCCAAACUCUGUAUUCCUUCAACCAUCUUCUGAAUCCGCCGCAAGGCAACACAAAUGAAUCAAAACUUUCAACAACGGAUCUCUUGGUUCUGGCAUCGAUGAAGAACGCAGCGAAAUGCGAUAAGUAAUGUGAAUUGCAGAAUUCAGUGAAUCAUCGAAUCUUUGAACGCACAUUGCGCCCGCCAGCAUUCUGGCGGGCAUGCCUGUUCGAGCGUCAUUUCACCCCUCGACCCCGCGCUUAGUGGAGUCGGCGUUGGGGGACGGCACCACCCCGCCGCCCCCGAAACGAAUCGGCGGCCCGUCCGCGGCGACCUCUGCGUAGUAACUCAACGCGCACCGGAACCCCGACGCGGCCACGCCGUAAAACACCCAACUCUGAACGUUGACCUCGAAUCAGGUAGGACUACCCGCUGAACUUAAGCAUAUCAAUA
RNAcentral lists this ribosomal RNA (570 nucleotides) under Simplicillium sp. AMVP-2014. Its description in RNAcentral is "eukaryotic LSU rRNA". The stretch from base 203 to 356 matches the Rfam family "5.8S ribosomal RNA". The record is from RNAcentral. Lineage: Eukaryota; Fungi; Ascomycota; Sordariomycetes; Hypocreales; Cordycipitaceae.